This 478-nucleotide long non-coding RNA is filed under the name Carica papaya (papaya). RNAcentral describes it as "long non-coding RNA (CPAP_LNC014291)". Lineage: Eukaryota; Viridiplantae; Streptophyta; Magnoliopsida; Brassicales; Caricaceae. The record is from RNAcentral.
GAUCAUGUAUAAAAGAUCCAAAAUGCAGAAUGCACCUUUUGUGUUUGCUUUAGUUGCUACAUGUGUCACUUUAGAGACUCUCAGUGCCACACCUACAUUCAUUAUAUGCAGAAUACACAGCUCUAAUCUCCCAUAAUCAUCACUCUGGCUUAAAGAUUAUAUAGAUGGAAAGUUUCAUCUUUCAGACUUUAUGUCAACUAUACGUAAUAUCUGAACUACAUGAUCAUGUUUGUGAUUAACGGCUUGAGAUUGAUCACCACUUUUAAUUAAAAUCUGGAUGCACGUGCCAUCUUCCAUCGCAUAGUACACAAAUCCCUAUAGUACUGGCGGUAGCAUCUGCAGAGCCUUUGGGCGUAAAGGUGGUGGACAACAAGGCUCUCUAGCUAGUUUUCAUUUGUUUAGGUUCUGUGGUGGCCAUGCAUUUGAAGCUCUUAACAAAAGUUCUUGUUGCUAUAUGAUGGGUAAUGAUUAGACAUGA